ACACUCCUACGGGAGGCAGCAGUGGGGAAUAUUGGACAAUGGGCGCAAGCCUGAUCCAGCCAUGCCGCGUGAGUGAUGAAGGCCCUAGGGUUGUAAAGAUCUUUUGUGCGGGAAGAUAAUGACGGUACCGCAAGAAUAAGCCCCGGCUAACUUCGUGCCAGCAGCCGCGGUAAUACGAAGGGGGCUAGCGUUGCUCGGAAUCACUGGGCGUAAAGGGUGCGUAGGCGGGUCUUUAAGUCAGGGGUGAAAUCCUGGAGCUCAACUCCAGAACUGCCUUUGAUACUGAAGAUCUUGAGUUCGGGAGAGGUGAGUGGAACUGCGAGUGUAGAGGGGAAAUUCGUAGAUAUUCGCAAGAACACCAGUGGCGAAGGCGGCUCACUGGCCCGAUACUGACGCUGAGGCACGAAAGCGUGGGGAGCAAACAGGAUUAGAAACCCGGGUAGUCCCA
This 448-nucleotide ribosomal RNA is filed under the name uncultured organism. Its description in RNAcentral is "partial 16S ribosomal RNA". It matches the Rfam family "Bacterial small subunit ribosomal RNA", at positions 333 to 797 of the family's 1533-position model. The record is from RNAcentral.